GACGAACGCUGGCGGCGUGCCUAAUACAUGCAAGUAGAACGCUGAAAGAGGAGCUUGCUUCUCCGGAUGAGUUGCGAACGGGUGAGUAACGCGUAGGUAACCUGCCUGGUAGCGGGGGAUAACUAUUGGAAACGAUAGCUAAUACCGCAUAAGAGUAGAUGUCGCAUGACAUUUGCUUAAAAGGUGCAACUGCACCACUACCAGAUGGACCUGCGUUGUAUUAGCUAGUUGGUGAGGUAACGGCUCACCAAGGCAACGAUACAUAGCCGACCUGAGAGGGUGAUCGGCCACACUGGGACUGAGACACGGCCCAGACUCCUACGGGAGGCAGCAGUAGGGAAUCUUCGGCAAUGGACGGAAGUCUGACCGAGCAACGCCGCGUGAGUGAAGAAGGGUUUCGGAUCGUAAAGCUCUGUUGUAAGAGAAGAACGAGUGUGAGAGUGGAAAGUUCACACUGUGACGGUAUCUUACCAGAAAGGGACGGCUAACUACGUG
This 495-nucleotide ribosomal RNA is filed under the name uncultured bacterium. RNAcentral's name for it is "partial 16S ribosomal RNA". It matches the Rfam family "Bacterial small subunit ribosomal RNA", at positions 28 to 507 of the family's 1533-position model. The record is from RNAcentral.